UAGGCUGCAACUCGCCUACACGAAGUCGGAAUCGCUAGUAAUCGCGGAUCAGCAUGCCGCGGUGAAUACGUUCCCGGGCCUUGUACACACCGCCCGUCACACCAUGAGAGCUGGGAACACCCGAAGCCCGUAGCCUAACCUGCAAAGGAGGGCGCGGUCGAAGGUGGGCUUAGUAAUUGGGGUGAAGUCGUAACAAGGUAGC
Molecule: ribosomal RNA, 202 nt
Filed under: uncultured bacterium
Lineage: Bacteria
Description: partial 16S ribosomal RNA
Rfam family: Bacterial small subunit ribosomal RNA
Source: RNAcentral